UAGAGUUUGAUCCUGGCUCAGGAUGAACGCUGGCGGCGCGCCUAACACAUGCAAGUCGAACGGCACCCAUCUUCGGAUGGAAGCGAGUGGCGAACGGCUGAGUAACACGUGGAGAACCUGCCCCCUCCCCCGGGAUAGCCGCCCGAAAGGACGGGUAAUACCGGAUACCCCGGGGUGCCGCAUGGCACCCCGGCUAAAGCCCCGACGGGAGGGGAUGGCUCCGCGGCCCAUCAGGUAGACGGCGGGGUGACGGCCCACCGUGCCGACAACGGGUAGCCGGGUUGAGAGACCGACCGGCCAGAUUGGGACUGAGACACGGCCCAGACUCCUACGGGAGGCAGCAGUGGGGAAUCUUGCGCAAUGGGGGGAACCCUGACGCAGCGACGCCGCGUGCGGGACGGAGGCCUUCGGGUCGUAAACCGCUUUCAGCAGGGAAGAGUCAAGACUGUACCUGCAGAAGAAGCCCCGGCUAACUACGUGCCAGCAGCCGCGGUAAUACGUAGGGGGCGAGCGUUAUCCGGAUUCAUUGGGCGUAAAGCGCGCGUAGGCGGCCCGGCAGGCCGGGGGUCGAAGCGGGGGGCUCAACCCCCCGAAGCCCCCGGAACCUCCGCGGCUUAGGUCCGGUAGGGGAGGGUGGAACACCCGGUGUAGCGGUGGUAUGCGCAGAUAUCGGGUGGAACACCGGUGGCGAAGGCGGCCCUCUGGGCCGAGACCGACGCUGAGGCGCGAAAGCUGGGGGAGCGAACAGGAUUAGAUACCCUGGUAGUCCCAGCCGUAAACGAUGGACGCUAGGUGUGGGGGGACGAUCCCCCCGUGCCGCAGCCAACGCAUUAAGCGUCCCGCCUGGGGAGUACGGCCGCAAGGCUAAAACUCAAAGGAAUUGAC
Molecule: ribosomal RNA, 885 nt
Filed under: uncultured bacterium
Lineage: Bacteria
Description: bacterial SSU rRNA
Rfam family: Bacterial small subunit ribosomal RNA
Source: RNAcentral